This is a small nuclear RNA of Paxillus involutus ATCC 200175, 202 nucleotides long. NCBI's taxonomy places the organism in Eukaryota, Fungi, Basidiomycota, Agaricomycetes, Boletales, Paxillaceae. The record is from Rfam.
GCACCCUUCGGGGUUGCACACGAUAAAAUUGGAACGAUACAGAGAAGUUGGUUCUUACCGCCACGGCCAAUGAACCGCUUAGUAAUGUUCUUCCCACACCAUCUAUAGCCUGCUAAUUACAUAAUCAUACUGAUUAGCAUGGCCCCUGCACAAGGAUGACACGCUUUUCCGGAGUGGUAGACCUACGGGUCUCAAUAUUUAU